GCCUGGCUGGCUCAGUCCAAAGAGCAUGCGACUCUUGAUCUCAGGGUUGUGAGUUCGAGCCCCAUGUUGGGUA
Molecule: transfer RNA, 73 nt
Filed under: Ailuropoda melanoleuca (giant panda)
Lineage: Eukaryota; Metazoa; Chordata; Mammalia; Carnivora; Ursidae
Rfam family: tRNA
About the family: Transfer RNA (tRNA) molecules are approximately 80 nucleotides in length. Their secondary structure includes four short double-helical elements and three loops (D, anti-codon, and T loops).
Source: Rfam by way of RNAcentral